CGGGAGGCAGCAGUGGGGAAUAUUGGACAAUGGGGGCAACCCUGAUCCAGCCAUGCCGCGUGUGUGAAGAAGGCCUUUUGGUUGUAAAGCACUUUAAGCAGGGAGGAGAGGCUAAUGGUUAAUACCCAUUAGAUUAGACGUUACCUGCAGAAUAAGCACCGGCUAACUCUGUGCCAGCAGCCGCGGUAAUACAGAGGGUGCGAGCGUUAAUCGGAAUUACUGGGCGUAAAGCGAGUGUAGGUGGCUCAUUAAGUCACAUGUGAAAUCCCCGGGCUUAACCUGGGAACUGCAUGUGAUACUGGUGGUGCUAGAAUAUGUGAGAGGGAAGUAGAAUUCCAGGUGUAGCGGUGAAAUGCGUAGAGAUCUGGAGGAAUACCGAUGGCGAAGGCAGCCAUCUGGCCUAAUACUGACGCUGAGGUACGAAAGCAUGGGGAGCAAACAGGAUUAGAUACCCUGGUAGUCCAUGCCGUAAACGUUGGGCACUAGGUGUGGGGGACAUUCCACGUUUUCCGCGCCGUAGCUAACGCAUUAAGUGCCCCGCCUGGGGAGUACGGCCGCAAGGCUAAAACUCAAAGGAAUUGACGGGGGCCCGCACAAGCGGCGGAGCAUGUGGAUUAAUUCGAUGCAACGCGAAGAACCUUACCUGGUCUUGACAUCCACGGAACUUUCCAGAGAUGGAUUGGUGCCUUCGGGAACCGUGAGACAGGUGCUGCAUGGCUGUCGUCAGCUCGUGUCGUGAGAUGUUGGGUUAAGCCCCGCAACGAGCGCAACCCUCGUUCUAUGUUGCCAGCACGUGAUGGUGGGGACUCAUAGGAGACUGCCGGGGUCAACUCGGAGGAAGGUGGGGAUGACGUCAAAUCAUCAUGCCCCUUAUGACCUGGGCUACACACGUGCUACAAUGGACAAUACAAAGGGCAGCGAAACCGCGAGGUCAAGCAAAUCCCAUAAAGUUGUUCUCAGUUCGGAUUGUAGUCUGCAACUCGACUACAUGAAGUUGGAAUCGCUAGUAAUCGCUGGUCAGCUAUACAGCGGUGAAUUCGUUCCCGGGCCUUGUACACACCGCCCGUCACA
This 1071-nucleotide ribosomal RNA is filed under the name Aurantiochytrium limacinum. RNAcentral describes it as "partial Bacterial small subunit ribosomal RNA". It matches the Rfam family "Bacterial small subunit ribosomal RNA", at positions 342 to 1401 of the family's 1533-position model. Lineage: Eukaryota; Bigyra; Thraustochytrida; Thraustochytriidae. The record is from RNAcentral.